Molecule: long non-coding RNA, 4808 nt
Filed under: Solanum tuberosum (potato)
Lineage: Eukaryota; Viridiplantae; Streptophyta; Magnoliopsida; Solanales; Solanaceae
Description: long non-coding RNA (STUB_LNC005129)
Source: RNAcentral
ACUAUUCUUCAGAAAUCCCAUUUAAAAUGAAAUUCAGACAUUAAAUCCAUUUAAACAUAUAAUCAAGCACCAUGUGCACAUCAGGGUUCAGAUCCGAAACAUGAAUGUGAAAAUGCAACAAUCUAAGUACAAAACACAGCCCAUUCUCAUCUAAUGGUGUCCCACCAUCAAACACAAAAGAAGUCUCUUGCUCUAUGAGCUUGUUGUACAUGUCGUGAAAUUAAACUUCCACCCUCCCUUCCAUUCGGCAGGUAGAGAAUACAUUCCUUUAUCUUUAAAUGAAGAAUCAAUACAAUACAAUACAAUAUAACAGAUAACAACCAUCCAAACAAGAUGUUAAACUUGCCCCUAAAUUUCAUUUUGACACUUCAACUCAACUUUGUUCCAUUUAAACCCUUCAACUCUAAUUUUCAUGUCCCAUUUACACACUUAUGUUCAAGGAAUCAACAAAGUGAGAUGUGUGUACUUCACACGCCCUCACCAUAGUUUGACGUAUUCCAGAAGCCUAAAUUUUGGUGCAAUCCAAAGAAACUUGUACAAUGAGUUGUUUGUACUCACAAUAGCCUUUGAGGUCUUACGAAAAUAAAGCCUACCUUUGCUUCCAAUGCCUUUACUUCAUUUGGUGAUAUUCUAGAGGCGAAAUCAUUGAAGACAUUUCCAUAGGAAUAUAUUAUGCAUGCAGACACAUUAAAUAAAAGUGAGUACCGGUGCCAAUCAUGUAUUUUUUUUUCAUGUGACUCGCGUGAAAAAUAUAGAUUUCUGAAUUAUUCUAUUGAGAAAGAUGUUCACUGGCUAAUAUAAUUGUUAAAUGAGAACUUUCCAUGAAUAGGAUUGCAAUUAGAAAAACCACCGAUGCCAUGCAUUUGGUAUGGAGUCAAAAUUCUUGCGCAGAAAUUUGCUUUUAUGUUGUUUAGUCAGCUGAUAAAACUAUGUAAAUUCUUUCUGAUUUACAUUAAUGCUUAUCUAAUAAUUACCAUAACCACGCAUUCAUCUCAAUAAAAGGUGAUCCCUAAUCCAAGUUUAUGAGAAGAAAAAUGUAUGUCGGAGGAAAAUGUGGACUUAACAUGCCAAUGUAGCCAUUGAAUAUUCAUUGGACCACAUCUCCACAAUCCUCAUCUUAACUUCAUUAAUACAUAAUACCAUUUAAAGUCUCAAAUUACAGUCAGUUCACAUUACCUCUGAUAAAUCUUUUACAUAUGAUACAGAACGAAUAAAUAUCAAUUUUUUCAAACAGUAAAAAGCAGUGAGACAAUGGUCAUUAAUAUUCAAUAGAUGUGAAAUAAUCGAGUUGCAGACUUAGAUUUAAGCCUUCAUUAAGAAAUUAGUAUAAAGCGCAAGUUAUAGAAAGCAAAGCAACAACCAAAAAGAGGCAUAAAUAAGCUACUUACCAAGCAACCCAGAGCCACCAUGAUCACUAUAGAAUAUGCAAAUAUGAUCAUUUGGACCACCACUCCCAUCUUUCCGGUACCUAGUAAGAGCAGUUUUGUUACCAAGGAGAACAGCUAAAAAGUUGUCCACGUUAACAUCAUCUCUAGUGUAAUCUUGCCUCAAGAGAUAACACAUGAGAUGGGAGUACAGUUUAGGUAUACACUAAUAAUGAUGGCAAAAAACACAUACCUUAGCAAGUCCUUUGUAAACAUCCUCCAGCAGGACUAUUAAUGAUAGCUCCUGGUCUUGGGCCCUCUUCAUUGUAAGCAAUGUCAUCGUACAUGAAGACAAGAAUAUUUUCAUCUCUGAGACCACAUUUUAUCAACAACUGAAAUGCAAGGCAUACAUCAGUCUGAUACAAAAGUCUAGGUCGACAAGGUUUAUCAUUAAACAUAUGAGAAAAGAAAAAAUAAUAAAAACACUCCAUAAUAGUUAAUCUAUCAAAAAGAAGGAAAAUGUUGCCUUAGCAAAACUUUUUACAAACUGAUUUGUUUUUAACUGGCUGGUUGCCUUAAUGGAUGAGUUUCACAAGGUUGGAAAGCUACCACCAAGCUUACAUUUGGUAAAAUCGUAGUGCUUGACUUUUUAACGGUUUAGUACUCGAAGGAACAUAUCUUUAAAAAGGACAAAAAUAAAGUUAUAUAAGCUAACAUCAAUAAUCAAAUACAUGAACCAAUGAAAUAGUACAGUGAAAAAAAAUCAAUAAUGGCAUUACAUGAACAUUGGGAUGAUCGUAGGCCAAGUUCUUAGAAAAAUAUACUCCUGCUCUACAAAGAAUAGUUAUACAUUCAAAGCAAUAUUCAUGUAGUACAAAAAUAGAAGAGUGCCUUCAAGGUUUACGAGAAUUAUGAUACUCAACCAUAUUGCUUCAUUCUUUUAAAAUCAAAACUAAGUCAUACCAAUCCAUUAAUAGCUCAUAAAAUAAUUAAAAUUUGAUCAACCGAAUCACUUUUGUCCCAUUUCAGUUCAGCUUCAAGCUAAGUUCAAGGCCCGUGAAGAUUAAUUUAGAUAAAUAUUUUUUUUCAAACUUCAGAAAAAUAUAUGUGAACUAUGUCACAACUAUAGUGCUCUAUAGUAGGAUGAAAAAUUGUACCCAAGCAAUGAAUUGAUAAAAAUUAAAAGUCCACAUAUCUUAUUAUCUUUUUCUAAUUGAUAAGCUUUUUUUCCUUUUUGAUAAAUAAAAAAACAAAAAUAAACAAGGUUUCAUUUUAUAUAGUCUCUCCUAAAAUCUUAUGCUAGAAUAUUCUACAAUCUGGCUCUAUGAUGGUAAACAGUUGUAAUUUUCUCUAACACGGGAAAGGAAAGACAUAGUUUUCUCUAUCUCUCAAUAUUUAUAAGUCCCUUGGAUUUCAUUUGCCACACUAUUUGUUGUUGGAGAAAUCAAAGGCACAAAAAAAGCCAAUAAACAACAACAACAAUAACAUAUUCAGUGAAAUUCCACACAAAAAAAGACCAAUAAAUUAUAGAUAAAAUAAAGAUGAAGAAAUUUUUUGCAGACAUCAAACAAAAAUGUGUGGAUGUUAAAUUCUCAAGAGAAAACCAAUUUGGAGCAAAUAACGUGCAACUACUUACUUAUACGUGAAAGAAUUAGUAAAAAGGAGAGGAAUUGAACCAAUAAAAAUUAAAACUUACCAUACCAUAUGUACAUGAGUACCACAAAAAAAAAAAAGAACAUUAAAUUUUGUGUAUAAAUUUAUAAUCAGUACCUUCAAAUUAACAGAAUGUAGAUUUCGAAUGAUUUAGAGUAAUACACGAAAAUAAUUCAAUCAUCAAAAGAAAACUAUAAUAGAAUAGUCUAAACAAACAUCUUCAAGAAAAAUAAUAAUUUACUAUUGGAACAAGAGCAACUGCAAUCGAACCUAGAAGAUUGGAGUGAAUGAAAGCAAUAGGCGCUACUCUUAAUGUGGCUAUCCAUGUAACUAAUGUAUGUUGGAACAUUUGGUUCAAGAGAAGCAUUACCACAAAAUUUAGAGAUAUAUGGCAAUGUGAGAAAAGAGAUGCCAACAUCUUAAUACAACUAUUCACCUUCUACUGUAGUAGUCAUUGCAAUAGUUAGGAAAAAAAUAAUAUCUCAGUCAUGGUACUUGAAUAAAGCAAUAAUCAUCAUCAAAUUUCGAGGUUUCACAAUAGAUUAUUGUCUAGUGUAUAGAUUACACAUCAAGAUCAAAUGUAGAGUAAAAAUGGAAAAAUGUGUAUUUACUUAUAACUAAAAUUAUCUGUGUAAUUAUAUUAACUUGAGUUAAGGACAAAAACAUAUAUGUGCAAUUCCAAUAGUUUCAUAGAGCAUUGAAUAGUUUCUUUGUCUCUCACCUUGUUUAUAAGAGACUUUUGGGAAGAAGGUCAAAGUUAAUUAAUCUGUAAAAGCAUACUCACCUUUUUUAUUGCAUUAUAUCGGCUUUGUAACUAUUAACUUUUGUCUCAAACUCAUAGAAUACACUAAUAAAUUAGAAGUGCAGAAAAUCAACCUACACAAGAUGAUUGCUUAAACACCAAAAGUAAAUUGGGUAUUUUGAAAAUUACCUUUACAAUCCAAAAAGUAAGGCAAUUAGAAAGUGUAAAGAGAACCAAAAAGGAGGGGAAAAAAAGAACAUGAGCAAACAUAAAGUGGUAACAUGCAAAAUAAUCCAAAACUUCUCAAAUACAGACAUUUCAACCUAGAAUAAGAUUAAUAUUUACACUGAUGUCACUGAAUUUUUUUUACAUAGAGAAAUCUAUCACUUUAUUUCCUUAGUUAUUGAGAUUUAGCCAUGAAAUACAGAUAUUUUAUGAAUGUUAAACAAAAUUAAAGGGAAUAUGAUGAAGAUUAUAUAAUAAUUGCGAGAAGAACAAAGAAAUCAAUUAAGAACUUACCCGACAUUGGAAAACCCAUUAGAGUAGAUCAUGAAGAUUCAAUCAGAGAUUUGAUCUGCAGGGUAGAAUAGUCGAUCAGAAGAAGUGAAUAACACAAUUUUUUUUAUGAAGAUUAAGAAAAAAUUUAACAGAAAUAGAUGAAGAUUAAACAAAAAUUGACAGAAGAACUUAAAAACUGAUGAAGAACCUAUCUAAGAUUGAAAAUAUAUAGAAGAAUAUAUAUGAAAUCAAUAAGCAAUUUGACAUGCAGCUCAGUGAAACUUUCAUCUAUACUCUUCUAGAUUCCUUAAUGAAACCCAAGGAUUUAUGUAAAGUAGAUGAAUGAAAAACGUACAAAGAAUUUGGCAAAAUUUAAAUGAUGAACAAAUCUAAAAACUGAAGUGUAACCCGUUGUGAAGAUGAAGAGAAUCAAAAAGUUCUUGACGAUGAUGAAGAGACCAUUCUUGAUAGCAUAAAAAAAGAGUGAAAAAGACGUAUGGAUCUCUUUUGACAUAUGUUGUUGUGCCUCUGAUAUUAUUUUCCCAGUCGAG